UGUCAAAGCCUCCCCUAGAAAUAGGAGGAGGGGGGUCAUGGGGGGACAACUUCCAAGGGAGGCCCACGUCAAUUUCUGACAAUUUACGGCAGUUUUCGGCAUUGCCCGCAAAUUGCCGCAAACCUGAAAUUCCACGACAAUUUACAGUGCCGCAUACUGCCGAAAAUCCCACUUUUCAUGCAGUGUGCAGACAGCAGUGAAGUCCGAGAGCUCAUCAACCUGAAUGAUGAAAAGACUGAGGCCUUCUCCAGACAAUAUUGCAUCAAUCAGAAAAGCAAUGCAGAAAAUUUUCACUUGGCGGAGAUCGUGGAUAGCCAAACAUUCACCCACCAUAGAGGAAAUAUUUCAAAAGUAUCCAUGCUUCUUGGACAUACCAUCACUUGUAGAUGUCCUAAUUUACACUAAUCUUAAACUAUGCAGCUAUAAAACCACAGAAUAUGUGUAGCGGUAAUCCAACUAAUGUGUACAUAUAGAUUGUAGCAUUUAUAAAUAAGCCAUUAUUCUUUUCUCCCAUAGUAAAAUAAUGGUUUUAUUAAAACAAUGUUGUGUUGUGCCUCUUUUUACUCUGUCGUCUCAACCAACCAGCUUGAUACAGAGUUUAGGUGCAUUCAUGAAGGACAGGGGGACCUGUUCUUAAGGAGCUGGGAGGCCAACACCAUGCCAAUGCUGUUGCCGCCAGGAAGACGGGUGAUAUCGCUUCUUUAGUUGAAGGGAUGGAAGACCAAACUGAUGGUUUCUGAAGUCCUCAACAAAAGGCAGUGAAACCUGCAUGCUACUACCCCCUACAUGGUUUGGUUAAAAGUGCUGCGACUCUCUCAACUUUUGAAAUAUUCAUAGAUCAGAAGGCAAUCUCAAUCGCUUAAAUGCUCCAAUAGCUCUCAACUCUCUCCACAAUCUUACCUUCUCGCAUCAUCUUACUUCAUAUAUUGGCUCAAUUUUG
Gasterosteus aculeatus aculeatus (three-spined stickleback) is the source of this 940-nucleotide long non-coding RNA. The record is from Ensembl. NCBI's taxonomy places the organism in Eukaryota, Metazoa, Chordata, Actinopteri, Perciformes, Gasterosteidae.